Molecule: non-coding RNA, 672 nt
Organism: Paralichthys olivaceus (Japanese flounder)
Lineage: Eukaryota; Metazoa; Chordata; Actinopteri; Pleuronectiformes; Paralichthyidae
Source: RefSeq, a predicted model, not a curated record
GACUUCAGGUUUUAUUUGGAGUAUAGAGCUGUGGGACAUCAUACAGCUGCAGUCCAAUAUGCAUACAAGUACUGUGUGAUUUGGUGCAUGUGAUAGUGUUUGUUAAUAGUGUCUGUGUCUGUCUUCAUCAGCUGCUCAGGACGUGCAGGGUGUCGCAUCAGCUGCUGCUCAGUUUAAGACUGUGUCCACUCUGCAGGAACCAUUGUGUCCAAGAACCUGCAACAGUGAGCUGCUGAUGCAGAUGUUUUUCCAUCAGUGCUCUCAGCCUCGCAGUGACAGAGAUUGUCCCACAGCAUCUCCUCUCCCUGCAGAACCUCACGUGUCCAUCUACAGAAGUCCUGGUGUCCAGGGUUUUUACUGCAACUGUUAAACCUUUACAUUAAGUUCAGGAGAAGACUGUGGAUUGGCUCCUUCAUCACUUGCAUUGGAAGAGCAGGAAUGAUUAAACUAAUGACAAGCCCUUCAGCUGACCUGCUGACCCUCAUCAGAGCAACAAAGAGCCGGAUAGCAGCAGUGGGACAAUAAGAUGGAGAGGUUGCCGAGGGUGAUGAGAUAAAAGCAGUGACACAACACUGAUGGAGGGAUCAGGAGCAUGACAGGAGGACGACAGGAGGAUGGUGAAGGGCCUGAUUAUAUGAAACUCGGCUCUACUCUAUACAGGAUGACAGUGAA